Molecule: unclassified non-coding RNA, 256 nt
Filed under: air metagenome
Description: partial contains small subunit ribosomal RNA, internal transcribed spacer 1, and 5.8S ribosomal RNA
Rfam family: Eukaryotic small subunit ribosomal RNA (bases 1-46)
Source: RNAcentral
AAGUCGUAACAAGGUUUCCGUAGGUGAACCUGCGGAAGGAUCAUUAAAGAGAUAGGGUCUUCAUGGCCCGACCUCCAACCCUCUGUUGUUAAAACUACCUUGUUGCUUUGGCGGGACCGUCUCGGUCUCCGAGCGCACUAACCCUCGGGUUGGUGAGCGCCCGCCAGAGUCCAACCAAACUCUUGUAUUAAACCAGUCGUCUGAGUAUAAAAUUUUAAUUAAAUUAAAACUUUCAACAACGGAUCUCUUGGUUCUC